CCCUUCUAUGUCCUGGGCUGCACGCGUGCUACACUGAUGCAUACAGCAAGUUCCUAGCCUGAAAAGGUAUGGCAAUCUCGAAUAUGCAUCGUGAUGGGGAUAGAUCUUUGCAAUUAUAGAUCUUGAACGAGGAAUUCCUAGUAAGUGUAAGUCAUCAUCUUACAUUGAUUAUGUCCCUGCCCUUUGUACACACCGCCCGUCGCUCCUACCGAUAUCGGGUGAUGUGCUGAACCAGUUGGACAGCCAUGCUGAAAAACUCGUAAAGCUUAUCACCUAGAGGAAGGAGAAGUCGUAACA
Molecule: ribosomal RNA, 297 nt
Filed under: uncultured eukaryote
Lineage: Eukaryota
Description: partial 18S ribosomal RNA
Rfam family: Eukaryotic small subunit ribosomal RNA
Source: RNAcentral